Molecule: ribosomal RNA, 468 nt
Filed under: uncultured bacterium
Lineage: Bacteria
Description: partial 16S ribosomal RNA
Rfam family: Bacterial small subunit ribosomal RNA
Source: RNAcentral
GACGAACGCUGGCGGCGUGCUUAACACAUGCAAGUCGAACGGAAAGGCCCUGCUUUUGUGGGGUGCUCGAGUGGCGAACGGGUGAGUAACACGUGAGUAACCUGCCCUUGACUUUGGGAUAACUUCAGGAAACUGGGGCUAAUACCGGAUAGGAGCUCCUGCUGCAUGGUGGGGGUUGGAAAGUUUCGGCGGUUGGGGAUGGACUCGCGGCUUAUCAGCUUGUUGGUGGGGUAGUGGCUUACCAAGGCUUUGACGGGUAGCCGGCCUGAGAGGGUGACCGGCCACAUUGGGACUGGGAUACGGCCCAGACUCCUCCGGGAGGCAGAAGUGGGGAAUAUUGCACAAUGGGCGGAGGCCUGAGCCAGCAACGCCGCGUGCGGGAUGACGGCCUUCGGGUUGUAAACCGCUUUCGCCUGUGACGAAGCGUGAGUGACGGUAAUGGGUAAAGAAGCACCGGCUAACUACGUG